RNAcentral lists this long non-coding RNA (610 nucleotides) under Gossypium barbadense (sea-island cotton). RNAcentral's name for it is "long non-coding RNA (GBAR_LNC007403)". Lineage: Eukaryota; Viridiplantae; Streptophyta; Magnoliopsida; Malvales; Malvaceae. The record is from RNAcentral.
UUGAAUUGUACUUGUAUAUUGUAUGUUUCAUAACUAUGUGGUACAAGAAAUGUAAGAAAUGAGGUUAGAAGACAUUCGAGGAAACGGGCUGACGACUCAACGGGUUUGAGUUGGAAUUUUUUGUCACAACUAUGUGGUACAUGGAAGGUAAGGAAUGAGGUUAUUAUAAAUUGUAAUUUUGUUACUGAAAAUUCUAUUGUGUCAAAAGCAAAAAUAUUGUUGCAGGAUUACAUUUUAGCACUAGCACAGAUGGUGAAGUCUAACAGAGCAGCCAGUGGCCAAGUGAGAUGGCAACCUCCACCUACUACCUACUUUGAAGUGAAGUUCGAUGCUGGUUUCAAUGCAAAUUUACAGCAAACAAGAGCGGGACUUGUUGAGGCUCUCUAUGGAUGUCUAGCUAUAGGCUGAGAUGACAGCAGCAUUGAAGGCCCUGGAAUCGGCGAAGAAACAAGUUAAAAGAUCCUAUACGUCCAAAGACAAGUUAACCCCCCUUGUAGGAAAUGAUGAUGUUGAAUUGUCAUGAUUGAUAGGCUCUUAAUUUUCGAUGAAAAGAAGAAGAGUUAGAAGCAGCAAAUUGGUUUAGUUCUUCAAUAAAAUUAUGGGAUUCUGG